Molecule: long non-coding RNA, 920 nt
Organism: Malus domestica (apple)
Lineage: Eukaryota; Viridiplantae; Streptophyta; Magnoliopsida; Rosales; Rosaceae
Source: RefSeq, a predicted model, not a curated record
CUUGGUUUAUAAAUCCCAACUUUAAAAUUCCAAGUAGAUGUGUCUGUUAAUCGAUUGCAUUUGGGAUGGAAAUGGUUUUGAAUGAUUUGGAUUUUCAUUAAUUUUAAUUCAUCUGCUAAUCAUAGUUUCAUGUAUUAGAUAGUUGCUUUGCUCUCACAAAUUUUGUUGGUAGGGGUUCAGCAAAGCUUUCUAGGGCUAAAUCUUCAGUUUGCUGUUGGGUAUGUUUACUUUAUGCUUUUGUUUUUUGUUUUUUGUUUUUUGUUUUUGUCUGGAGUAAAUAUGCUUAAGAUGUCACAUGAUUAAAGGUGGAGAAACCACCGUCCCUUUUUUCGUAGAAAUUUGUAAAUUUUUUUUAAAAUAUGUGUGGGUUGCUGAAACUAAUUAUUUGAUCAGUGUGAUUUUUUGUAAUUGAGAAUUUAGGACCUUGGUAACUUGAUUAAAUAGGAAUUUUGUGAUUAGGAAUUUGUGGGUUUACCUCCUAAUUUAAUCCCUUUCUUAAGAGGGAUCUGGUCGUAACACACAAUGGGGGGAAGAGAAGCGGCACCAGGUUCGGCGAUCAAUCUGAAGAGGAAGAGGUCAAUUUUGAGCACAAGUCCAAUCCCCGGCCCAAUUUUGUAAUAAAGGUGUUCCAACCAGUAGCUGAUAAAAUGUCUUUAUGUAUAUGCUUUUGUUGAUUUCUGCUGCGAUAAUGAGGGAAUCCAGAGGAUUGAGGCCAGUUAAUCUGAGUUCAGCACAGUCGGACUACAUAAUCCUACCAUUGGGCUAUUUCUAUAGAGGGUUUAUGUUGACUUUUGUUGGCCUGUUGACAGUCUGGUAGGUCUAUCAUAUUGAUGGAACUAAAUUGUGAGUUAGUUAUGGUUUAGAUUGUUGAAUUUUGAAUUUGCAAUUCCCUUUGAAACUGUCACAAGCGAUGUGUCUGU